CUCCAGGUGGCGUUUUACAUAUAAACGUUACUCAAUGGACUACGAAGGAGACUUUACAAUUAAUAACAAAUCUCAAGACAGACAGUGUAUAUUUAAAUUGGACCUCAUUGGAAAUUGGGCUGGACUCCUGCCUGAUGGGCGUUCCUGAUGCUCUUUAUGUGAUGUAGACAAAGAAGCCACAAUUAUCAGGAAAGAAUAUCCGGACUCAAUCGUGAAAGGGCAACAGAACUUAACAAUUAUUCAUAGAUAGCCAAAAUAUGUAUCACUCAUCAAGCUUCAUGCCAGCUGGGCUUUCCGGGCAAGAAAUUCUCGAUAUAAAAUUUUGGAUAUGAAAUAAUUAAAAUAUAGUGUAAAUUUUAUUGUUUAAAUGUUUCCUCUGCAAUAAUCUCAAAAAUAAAUAUUAGCAAUAUGUAGUACGGUAAUUCUUGUAGGCAUUAUGUUUAUUAAUAUUGUAUUAUUACUGCUAAUGUUUAUCUUAUUAAUAGAGAAAGUAAGCCGUUUGUUGUAAAGAAUAUAGACAUGUAAGAUAAUAAGAUAUAACAUUUUGAGGAUUAAAAUCUGAUUUAUUGA
Long non-coding RNA from Anneissia japonica, 570 nucleotides. RefSeq lists it as uncharacterized. The transcript has 3 exons. The record is from RefSeq and is a predicted model, not a curated record. NCBI's taxonomy places the organism in Eukaryota, Metazoa, Echinodermata, Crinoidea, Comatulida, Comatulidae.